This 400-nucleotide ribosomal RNA is filed under the name uncultured bacterium. RNAcentral's name for it is "partial 16S ribosomal RNA". It matches the Rfam family "Archaeal small subunit ribosomal RNA", at positions 473 to 873 of the family's 1478-position model. The record is from RNAcentral.
AUACCCGCAGCCCAAGUGGUGGUCGAUUUUAUUGAGUCUAAAACGUUCGUAGCCGGUUCAUUAAAUCCUUGGGUAAAUCGGAUGGCUUAACUAUCCGAAUUCCGGGGAGACUGGUGAACUUGGGACCGGGAGAGGCAAGAGGUACUUUUGGGGUAGGGGUAAAAUCCUGUAAUCCUAAAAGGACCACCGGUGGCGAAGGCGUCUUGCUAGAACGGAUCCGACGGUGAGGGACGAAGCCCUGGGUCGCAAACGGGAUUAGAUACCCCGGUAGUCCAGGGUGUAAACGCUGCAGACUUGGUGUUGGGGACCCUUCGGGGGUGUUCAGUGCCGGAGAGAAGUUGUUAAGUCUGCUACUUGGGGAGUACGUCCGCAAGGAUGAAACUUAAAUGAAUUGACGGGG